UGGGGAGUGGUUUGUUAUGUCACUAGGGUGAGGAAAUUUGCAGAAGUUCUUGAAGAGUGGGAGCGGGAUUACUCACCUCAGAGGUUCAAAUUUAAAGAUUUGUACAAGGCCACUAAAGGGUUUAGAGAUAAGGAGAUGCUGGGUAGAGGAGGAUUUGGAAAAGUAUACAAAGGUGUGAUGCCUAGGUCUAAAUCUGAGAUUGCUGUUAAGAGGGUGUCUCAUGAAUCAAGACAGGGGAUGAAAGAAUUUGUGGCAGAAAUUGCAAGCAUGGGUCGACUACGCCAUCGGAAUUUGGUGCCUCUAUUGGGAUACUGUCGGCGUAAAAGUGAACUUCUGUUAGUCUAUGAAUACAUGCCGAAUGGAAGCCUAGACAAGUUUAUCCAUGACCAGCCUAAGUUUACUCUCAGUUGGGACCAAAGAUUUCGAGUCAUCAAAAGUGUAGCAUCUGGAUUACUUUACCUACACGAAGAAUGGGAGCAAGUCGUGAUCCACCGAGAUAUAAAGGCGAGUAACGUUUUAUUAGACGGGGAAAUGAAUGGAAGAUUAGGUGAUUUUGGGCUUGCAAGAUUGUAUGAUCGUGGGGCAGACCAUCAGACGACUCAUGUGGUUGGGACACUAGGGUACCUUGCCCCAGAGCAAAAUAGAACAGGAAAGGCCACAACAAGCACUGAUGUUUAUGCUUUUGGGGCAUUUUUGCUUGAGGUUGCCUGCGGGAGAAGGCCAAUAGAUCCCAAAGCUGCCUCUAAUGAUCUAAUAUUGGUAGAUCAAGUGUUUUCCUACUGGAACGAAGGUGACAUUUUCCAGGCAGUCGAUCCAAAUUUAUGUAAUGAUUACGUAAAAGAGGAGAUGGAAACAGUGUUGAAGCUUGGUUUGCUAUGUUCUCAUUCAGAGCCAAAAUUUAGGCCUAGCAUGCGUCAAGUUAUGUUGUAUCUGGAAGGCGCAUUGGCUCCGCCAGAAUUGUCUGCAAGUGGCCUAAAAUUGACACAACAUAAUGGAGGGUGUGAUGGUGUCCCCUUGUGGUCGUAUCCUUCUUCUACUACUUCUCAAACGGUAUUUACACAAGCUUCCUCGGUUUCAAAUUUUCUCCUAUCUGGAGGCCGAUGAAAAUAUUAUGCGUUAUAAUACUGUGAUAAGUUCACUUGUGUAGAGGGUAUUUUCUUCCUCAUACUGUAUUUGGUUUCUUGCUGCUCCUUGUAUCAGUAAUUUCCAUGGGUUCUUGAAAUGUCAUCUCUACAUCGCUCUUAUCUAAAUUCGAAAAUUGGGAGCGGGAUUACUCACCUCAGAGGUUCAAAUUUAAAGAUUUGUACAAGGCCACUAAAGGGUUUAGAGAUAAGGAGAUGCUGGGUAGAGGAGGAUUUGGAAAAGUAUACAAAGGUGUGAUGCCUAGGUCUAAAUCUGAGAUUGCUGUUAAGAGGGUGUCUCAUGAA
Molecule: long non-coding RNA, 1427 nt
Filed under: Olea europaea (common olive)
Lineage: Eukaryota; Viridiplantae; Streptophyta; Magnoliopsida; Lamiales; Oleaceae
Description: long non-coding RNA (OEUR_LNC009110)
Source: RNAcentral